Molecule: ribosomal RNA, 330 nt
Filed under: uncultured eukaryote
Lineage: Eukaryota
Description: partial 18S ribosomal RNA
Rfam family: Eukaryotic small subunit ribosomal RNA
Source: RNAcentral
CCCUUAGAUGUUCGGGGCCGCACGCGCGCUACACUGAAGGAAUCAGCACGUCUUUCUCCUUGUCCGAAAGGACUGGGUAACCCGCUGAACCCCCUUUGCGCUAGGGAUUGGGGCUUGUAAUUCUUCCCCAUGAACGAGGAAUUCCCAGUAAGCGCGAGUCAUAAGCUCGCGUUGAUUACGUCCCUGCCCUUUGUACACACCGCCCGUCGCUACUACCGAUUGGAUGGUUUAGUGAGAUCCUCGGAUUGGUCCCGGCGCGGCCUCUGGUCGUGCCGGAGUGCCGAAAAGAAUGUCGAACUUGAUCAUCUAGAGGAAGUAAAAGUCGUAACA